AUGAGCGCCGUGUGCUUUUUCUUGGCGUGCCUGGCGGCAGCCCUGCAGCCAACGUCGGCCGCCGAGGCUGGAAGGGGUGGGAUCUUGCAUAUCCCUUCCGCCGCCGAGCUGCGUCAGGCUCGUUGCCCUUCCAGAUGCGGUGGUGUUGCCAUUCACUAUCCGUGGGGGGUAGGGCCGGGCUGCUUCCGGCAAGGCUUCGAGCUCACCUGCAACAGCACCGCAGGUCAUAAGAGGCUCUUUCUGGGCAAUAGUACUACUGAGGUCCUUGAGUUGUAUCGCGGAGAAAAUUGGCUUGGAGUCUCUCCUAUCCACUUCAACGUCACCCUCAAACCAGGUAUGAAGGACACUUAUAACAUGUCAUGGGAGGCCCCUGUUAAAGGUGUUAUGACCUCUGAAGAUACAAGCUUGUUCAUUGUUGGUUGUGGUGUGGGUGUCUACUUGUUCGGCCAUGAUACCAACAAGCCCAUAGGUUCUUGCACGAGUAUUUGCCUAGACGACAAAGAGGCCAUGAAGGAGGCAAAUGCAAACCAGUACGAUGGCUGGGAUGUUGGGAUGGGAUACUGUUCCAUCCAUUUGCAGCAGGACGUGCGAGCCUUUGGGUUCAUAGUUGGCCGCCUUAAUGGUGGCUUCUCAGCACUAUCAAGUCAAGGUGAAGGGCUCUCUAAUAGUAUCAAAGUAUUCAUGGCGGGAUAUUACGAAUUUCAUACGGCUGACAUCUAUUCAAGUAAGAUAGACGAACGGAAUGUUGAAGGGGCAUAUUUUGGCAUGGCCAUCACGGAUCAACCAAACUGUAAAAAUGCUCAGAAGAACAUGUCAAGCUAUGCUUGUAGCACUGACAGCAUUUGCCUGGAUCAGCAAUCAGCUGGAGGCUACUUGUGCCGGUGCCCCAGUUACGCAGAUGAUGAGAAUCCGUACAUUAUGGACGGCUGUCAAGCAUACACACCCAAUCCCAAAGAAGGUUGCAAGAGAUUAUGCGGGAACACAAACAUUCCCUUUCCUUUUGGGCUUGAAAAAGGUUGCUAUGCUGCCGAAAAGUUUCGGCUUAACUGUACAUCAGAAAACAUCACAAUUCUUGAUCGAAGUGCCAAAUACAUUGUGGCCAACAUUUUAGUGAAUGAAGGAUAUCUUACUGUUAGAGAAAUACAAAACAACUCAAGGUACAGCGAUGAAGAUCUUGCGGUGGUAAGUUAUACAAGCGGUGGGGGCAUGGAACUAGAAGACAUCGUCGAUCGAUAUGGUUUUUAUUUAUCUGAAGAAUACGACAUGAAGAUGUGGUGGUCUGUUGAUAAUUUAACCUGUCCGGUUGAUAUGAGCAAGCAAAGAAGUGCUACGUACGCAUGCCGCAGUGUCAAUAGCGCCUGCAUUCCUGUCACCCGCCGCCAUGGGAAUGGCACGACGCAGCUCGGCUAUCGUUGCCAGUGCUCUCCCAAUUAUGAGGGAAAUCCAUACACACCGGAUGGCUGCACAGAUGUCAACGAGUGUUUGUUGAUGAAUACUUGCAAUGGCACAUGCCAAAAUUAUCCUGGGGGCUAUAGUUGCAACACCUGCACUCAUGGAAAAGAGUUUGAUCCAAUAAAAAGGAGAUGUGUCACAUCAGCAAAGAGACGCAGUCUUCUCUUAGGUAUCGGAAUUGGAAUUGGGUGUGGUCUUGGUGCCAUAAUACUUGGGCUAGGUAUUGUGGCAUUCAUCAGUAAGUGGAAGAGAGGCAUACAGAAGAGAAUACGAAGAGCAUACUUCAAGAAAAAUCAAGGACUACUCUUGGAACAACUAAUAUCAGAUGAAAGUGCCACUGAUAAAAUGAAGAUAUUCUCCUUGGAGGAAUUAAAUAAAGCAACCAAUAACUUUGAUGUCAGUCGUGUUCUUGGUCGUGGAGGACAUGGCACCGUUUACAAAGGAAUUCUAUCUGAUCAACGUGUAGUGGCUAUCAAAAAGUCAAAGCUAGUGGAGCAAACUGAGAUUGACCAGUUUAUCAAUGAGGUUGCCAUCUUAUCACAGAUCAUUCACCGGAAUGUGGUCAAGCUUUUUGGUUGUUGUCUCGAAACAGAGGUGCCUUUGUUGGUCUAUGAGUUCAUAUCCAAUGGCACACUAUAUGAUCUUCUUCACAUCGAUGUAAGUGUUAAAUGCUUACUUUUAUGGGAUGAUCGUAUUAGGAUUGCAACAGAAGCUGCAGGUGCUCUUUCUUAUCUCCACUCAGCUGCUGCGAUACCAAUUUUCCAUAGAGAUGUCAAAUCUUCCAAUAUACUCCUAGAUGGCAACUUUACUACCAAGGUUUCUGACUUUGGUGCUUCGAGGUCUUUAUCACUUGAUCAGACACAUGUAGUGACAAUUGUACAAGGAACUUUUGGUUACUUAGACCCCGAGUACUACCACACCGGGGAGCUAAGUGAGAAGAGUGAUGUUUAUAGCUUUGGAAUUAUACUGGUGGAGCUUCUGAUGAGAAAGAAGCCAAUUUUUAUUAAUGAACAAGGUAUGAAACAAAGCUUGGCUCAUUACUUUGUGGAAGGCCUUCAGCAGGGAGUUCUCAUGGAAAUCAUGGAUCCCCAAGUUGCAGAAGAAGCGAAUCAGAAUGAAAUUUAUGACAUUGCCUCAGUUGCGGAAGCAUGCUUGAAAACCAAAGGAAAAGAAAGACCUACCAUGAAAGAGGUAGAAAUGAAGUUGCAACUCCUAAAAACUAGAAGAUUAAGGAGUCAACUUCCUCCCAUAAAUGACGGAGAGAUCGAGUCACUUGGGUGCUUAAAUGGCGCUAGCUCUCAUGCACAGAGCAACAGCAUUGUCAGUAAUGUUGGCUUAACACCUACAUGCAGCUCCGGAAAGUAUAGUCUGGAGCAAGAGUUUUUAAACUCGGCCAGCUUUCCACGCUAG
RNAcentral lists this ribosomal RNA (2862 nucleotides) under Triticum aestivum (bread wheat). RNAcentral's name for it is "partial small subunit ribosomal RNA". The record is from RNAcentral. Lineage: Eukaryota; Viridiplantae; Streptophyta; Magnoliopsida; Poales; Poaceae.